RNAcentral lists this ribosomal RNA (253 nucleotides) under uncultured Bacteroides sp. RNAcentral's name for it is "partial 16S ribosomal RNA". It matches the Rfam family "Bacterial small subunit ribosomal RNA", at positions 524 to 776 of the family's 1533-position model. Lineage: Bacteria; Pseudomonadati; Bacteroidota; Bacteroidia; Bacteroidales; Bacteroidaceae. The record is from RNAcentral.
UACGUAGGGGGCAAGCGUUAUCCGGAUUUACUGGGUGUAAAGGGAGCGUAGGCGGGUUGUUAAGUCAGUUGUGAAAGUUUGCGGCUCAACCGUAAAAUUGCAGUUGAUACUGGCAUCCUUGAGUACAGUAGAGGUAGGCGGAAUUCGUGGUGUAGCGGUGAAAUGCUUAGAUAUCACGAAGAACUCCGAUUGCGAAGGCAGCCUGCUGGACUGUAACUGACGCUGAGGCACGAAAGCGUGGGGAGCAAAUAGG